Molecule: non-coding RNA, 135 nt
Organism: Triticum urartu
Lineage: Eukaryota; Viridiplantae; Streptophyta; Magnoliopsida; Poales; Poaceae
Source: Rfam
GAUCUACUCCCUCCGUUCGGAAAUACUUGUCAUCAAAAUAAAUAAAAGGGGAUGUAUCUAGAUGUAUAUUAGUUCUAGGUAUAUCCCUGUUUAUCCAUUUUGAUGACAAGUAUUUUUGGACGGAGGGUGUAUUAU